RNAcentral lists this transfer RNA (70 nucleotides) under Bacteroidota bacterium. Its description in RNAcentral is "tRNA-Gln". It matches the Rfam family "tRNA". Rfam says of the family: Transfer RNA (tRNA) molecules are approximately 80 nucleotides in length. Their secondary structure includes four short double-helical elements and three loops (D, anti-codon, and T loops). The record is from RNAcentral. Lineage: Bacteria; Pseudomonadati; Bacteroidota.
GCGCUGUAGCAUAACGGUAGUGCAUGGCACUUUGACUGCCUAGACAUAGGUUCAACUCCUAUCAGCGCCG